AAAGGCCAGAAGUGACUCCUGCCGUAGCUGCGGCAGGCCUGGAGGCCGUACUGGGACCUGGCCAAAGACCCAGAAGUCCAGCUUUGAAGAAAACCUGGAGAAAGAGAGAGUCACAAAUCAUCUCCAUACUGCAGGAGAUGCAGAAAUGGCGGAAGGCAUCCCUUGGCUGUGACAGUUUCUUGAUCUUCACUUGAUUUUCAUGGUCUUGACACUUUUGAGGACUACUGCUCAGGUUUACAGAUGCCAUUUAUGUCCAGAGCUACUGAGGGUGCCAACAGAUGUCGUUUUGUAAGAAAAGCUCCCCAGAAUUCUGUGCAUCAGACUCAUUUAUGCAAUCUCUGCCUACAUUGGGACCCCACUGAAGCCACGACCCCUAAGGCAGGGCUGGACUGCCUUGCAGUGGGAAACAGCCCAAGUGUCCAUCACGAGAGGAAUGCCUGAGUAUACUGAGGCCAGCCUUACUAUAGAGUCCAGGCAGCAAGUGACAAGGAUGAGGUGGCUCUACAUGUGCACGUGUAGAACUGCCCCCAAGACCUUGCGAAAUGCAAAGAAUAUUGAGUAUCACUUUAGAAUAUAUUAAACAACCUAUCAAGAUUAAUGAGCUUAUUCAGAAAAGAAAAUAAGUCCUGAUCAAUUUCAGCGUGUUUGUACCAGCAGAUUCCAGGUGAUGGAUAGGCAGCUUCAUUUUAAUAGUCUGUUGGUACAGGGUGACCUGUAGACUUUCCAGAAGAGGUAAAAUGAAUCCUCCGGUUGUCACCCCCUCCUUCCUCGCUCCAAUUCCAUCAUUAAUCCCCGUUUGAGGAUUUGAGUGCUGCCGAGGACUGACAGACUCCAUGAGGGUCAGCUGCUGCCUGGUACAUGUGGUCACCUGCAGCUUCUUCAGCCCCACAUAUAUUUUGUGCUGUUUUAGACUGCUCUUUCUUCCAUUAAAUGAGAGAUUAGAUCUGAAUGGCCACGUGAUCUUCUGAGUGCCAUCUGUAAGAAUCUGCAUUUCCACGGAAUUGGGGGAGCAAACAUUCUCAAAAGAUUCUUAAAUGCAAACCCGCAGGCACAGCAUGUGUCUGUCAACUCCAAGAGCAUUUGGAUGUUCGAAGGGAGAGGAUGUUUGACAUCUAACCCGUCGUGGAAAGAGGAACCUCUACAGUGACAUGAAGGCAAUGGAUUCUCAGCAUUACAAGGCAAGACAGAACUUGAAGGAAGAAGGCUGGGAGGAAACCAAGGUUGAAUGAACACUGACUCUGUGCUCAGCCCUGAGCAAGCAGUGGAAAUGCCCCUGGGCUGUGAGCCAGGAAUUCAAAUCCCAGCUUGUAGAGCUGUUCUGGGGGUUAGAAGUUUGGGGUCCCUCAUUGCUGCACUCAUUCCAGGUUUGGGGCUGGCGCUGCCCUUCUGACCCCUCCCUAAGAUGGACACAGGAGAAGGAGUGGGGAGAAGAAACAGGUGGCCAGAAGACACCUCGUUGAGGGCUCCCUCUGCUUGCAACAGGACCUGCUGAGGUUGCAGUUGAAGUGCUGGUCUUCCCAGAGAAAAUAACCCCUCAUUCUCAAAGGAUGAGAGUGAGCCCUAUGGGGCUGCAUGCUCUUGGCCAUGGGAGAUCAACUGUGGUCACAUAGAGUGUAAUCAGUGUGUAUUUAUGGAUCACUCACUACAUGCAAGACUGGGACACGGCUGGGAUUUACUGUGGGGCUGAAAGCAAGUCACUUAAAAAGGUAAAAAUUCAUGUCCUUUUAAUCUACUUUUCAGCAGGGAACAUCAUGUCUGAAUGCUCGUGGCCUCUGCCUGCCUCGUGGGAUGGUGCUGGAAAUUAUACUCAUGUUUAGAUAGCAUUCUCUGCAAGUGGCUGCUGUUGUCCUUCCAUCAUCAGCACAGGCAGGUGCUGGGAGUACCCACCUUGGGGUGGGGUGGCAAGAGAGGGCCAGCUUGUAUCUGCCUCGUUGUCGUCCUUCCUUCCUGACUUGACUCUCUCCUCUGUGGCCUUCUCAGGAGUGGGAUGUGGUUGUGAGGAGAAUGUGUACUUUACCCCUCACCAGUCCAGAGAGGGGCACAUAGCCCAAACCUCUCCCCUUCCCAGAAACCUGCAAGUCCCCCUGGGUGCGCCUGUGUGAUGAGGCAGGCUCCGAGAGCCACAGGCUGGUGGGCCACUAGGGAAGCAGUAAAGGAAGACAUUUUAUGAUUCUAGCUGGAGAUAAUGAAUUGAAAAGCUGGUCUCUGUUUCUGGAAAUGAUGCCAGGAGGCCCUCAAAAUAAACGCCCACCUGUCCUUCAGGUCUCAACACCUGUU
This 2277-nucleotide non-coding RNA is filed under the name Pan troglodytes (chimpanzee). Lineage: Eukaryota; Metazoa; Chordata; Mammalia; Primates; Hominidae. The record is from RNAcentral.